AGGUGCCACCAAUCUUGGUGCAAAUCCAAGUAGAAGCU
Molecule: transfer RNA, 38 nt
Filed under: Entosphenus tridentatus (Pacific lamprey)
Lineage: Eukaryota; Metazoa; Chordata; Hyperoartia; Petromyzontiformes; Petromyzontidae
Description: Lampetra tridentata (Pacific lamprey) partial tRNA-Leu
Source: RNAcentral